This is a long non-coding RNA of Canis lupus familiaris (dog), 1656 nucleotides long. RefSeq lists it as uncharacterized. The transcript is spliced from 3 exons. The record is from RefSeq and is a predicted model, not a curated record. Lineage: Eukaryota; Metazoa; Chordata; Mammalia; Carnivora; Canidae.
AAAAACAUCCGAUUGACAUGUUUGAGAUAAAAAAACACCCGAUUGAGAUGUUUGAGAUAAAAAACAUCGGAUUAAAAAAAAUCCGAUUGAGAUGUUUGAGAUAAAAAACAUCCAAUAUCAAAAAAAAAAUCCAAUUUCAAACUUUAUGGGGUUAUUUUUAUUGAUGGAGGAUUUUCCUUACAUUUGUGGAGCCUAUAAAAAGGCCACAGGGUCAUUGACUCAAAUCAUAAGCAAAUUAUUAGUAGUCAUAUAAAUUUACCAACAAAUUGAUUUGUACUAUUUUGGGACCUAUUUCAACCUAUUUUCAGAGGGCUCACAAGAUUUAUAAACAUAAAGGAUAUAAUUCUAAAGUGGCACAACUUCUCCAGAAAUGAGACACAGAGAUCACGUGCCCAGCUCCUACUGUGUAGCAGUGACUAUUAAAGGCUGGCUCUCUAGGCUUCACAUCUUCUUUGGGACCGAAGCAGACAAGGGGACACUGCCUAUGUUCUGUAACAGAGGGCUCACAAGAUUUAUAAACAUAAAGGAUAUAAUUCUAAAGUGGCACAACUUCUCCAGAAAUGAGACACAGAGAUCACGUGCCCAGCUCCUACUGUAUAGCAGUGACUAUUAAAGGCUGGCUCUCUAGGCUUCACAUCUUCUUUGGGACCGAAGCAGACAAGGGGACACUGCCUAUGUUCUGUAACAGAGGGCUCACAAGAUUUAUAAACAUAAAGGAUGUAAUUCUAAAGUGGCACAACUUCUCCAGAAAAGAGACACAGAGAACACGUGCCCAGCUCCUACUGUGUAGCAGUGACUAUUAAAGGCUGGCUCUCUAGGCUUCACAUCUUCUUUGGGACCGAAGCAGACAAGGGGACACUGCCUAUGUUCUGUAACAGGUCAGUUAUGCUCAAUAUCAAACUUUGGUUCACAGAAUUAAUGGUGGAAGUUGUAGCUACCUUUAUCCUGGGUAAGAUAAGAAGUUAUGUUCCUGCAUUGUUUGUGACAUGGCCGGACAACCAAUGGAAAUUCCUGGGUUGUUUCAAAAAGAUGUGCCAGUUUAUGGUGAAGAAGACCCUUAUUUAUGUCCUGAGUUCUCUUGCGUCCAUUAUACACAAUCUAAUUGUUGGAGAAGUCUUCAUCAAUAAGCUAUAUUACUUUCUACACAAAAAGAUGGUUUCUGAACCCACAGCUGUGGUUGUCGUUUAGCUACUCUUACACCUACUCACCCUGCAGUCGUUGGGGGGAUACUUGGCACCCGGAGGAGAGCAAAGGACUUUCCUCGCUUAUCUACUGCCACUGGAGGCUUGUGUGCAUGCUCGGCUCUCUCCCCGAGCCUGGCCCAUUCUAUCCUCUCACAAAGAACAUAAUAACAUAAGAACAUUUAAAUAAAUAAAUAAAUAAAUAAUAAAUAAAUAAAUAAAAUCUCAAUUUUUUAGAAGAGGAUAUACGUAAAAAUGUGGCCAGAGGUUUUGUUUGUCUUUUUUUUGUUUUGUUUUUUGUUUGUUGUUUUUUGUUUUUUGUGGCCAGAGGUUUUGAAACCUGUCACAAACUAUUGUCACAAAAAAUACCUACGUUCACCCAGGAUAUGUGUAAGAAAGAGGUUGGGUUUUCGAAGCCUUUCACAAAAUCUUGUCACAAAAGAAAUGUGUAUGUUAGACCACGAUACAUGUAUAA